Canis lupus familiaris (dog) is the source of this 538-nucleotide long non-coding RNA. RefSeq lists it as uncharacterized. Lineage: Eukaryota; Metazoa; Chordata; Mammalia; Carnivora; Canidae. The record is from RefSeq and is a predicted model, not a curated record. The transcript is spliced from 2 exons.
AGCUUGCACUCAUUCUGGAACACUGGCUUAACUGUAGUUUUCUUUCUCUGUGAAAGUAUUCCUGAAACCAACAGAUAGGAACAAUUGCUUUCUUUGAUGUGGGCCUCUCUUCUAUAUCAAUUUGACCUCAGAGCAGAUGAUCCUCACCACCAGCCAAUCUGAAUUCUUCCAUAAAGACAUGUAUGUACUCUCCAGAGCAGAAAUGACACCAUCCACUGGAUAUCGCGGGCACACAUGUGGCAAAUUAAGUCACACAUUGAGAAGUCACCCUGUCACGGUGGUGAGAAGUUCAGACUCAGGAGUCAUGCCAAGCUAAGUCUGAAUCACUACACUCAAGAGUCUCCAUUUUCUCACCUGGAGAAACAGCACUUACCACCUAAGACAGCAGUAAGGCCUGAGUUAGAUGACAAUGGGAGUCCUAGUGCCAGAGCCUCUGAGAUUUCUAACAUCUACAAAGAUUCUGGAGACGUGGAAAAAAAAAUUCUUGGGAGAGAAAAUUGUAAAAUUAGUAAAUAUUUAAUUAAAUACUUAAAACAUA